This is a long non-coding RNA of Coffea arabica (coffee), 6148 nucleotides long. RefSeq lists it as uncharacterized. The record is from RefSeq and is a predicted model, not a curated record. NCBI's taxonomy places the organism in Eukaryota, Viridiplantae, Streptophyta, Magnoliopsida, Gentianales, Rubiaceae.
GCCAAAGGAGGAGAGCUACGAAAAGGCUAAAAAAAACAGAGAGGGAGGCUGCGGAGAGUGAGAAGAAAACAGAGCAAAACAGAGGAAGUGAAAAGGGGGCUAAGAGUAAGAAAUAGCCAAGGGGGUGGCGGACCGAGAGGAAGGAGAGAAACGGAAAACAAAAGGGAAGAAUUCAAUUGGAAAAGAGAGAGGAGAGGAUUCGGCUGAGGGAGAGAACCAAAGAAAGAAAAGGAGGGAGAUAGACAGAAACGAGGGAGCUCUCGGCUGAAAAAAAGAAGGAAAAGAAACAGAGCAAGGCUACGGGAAAGAGUAACAAAAAAAAAACAGAGGGGGAUUGGCGGCUGGUGUGGUGGAGAAAGAAUUGAAGCAAAAGAAACCGAAAGGGAAACCUGGGAAACUUGGGGAGGUUUUCGGAGGACAGAACGGAGAGAGAGCCGAACAAAAAAUCUGAGCGACGGAAGAACAGAAAAAAGAAAGGAAACCAGAGGGGAGAGGAAAGAGACUUUGGCGGGGAAAAGAAAAACGAAGAAAAAUAGAGGGCGGAGGACGGAGGAGCUAAGAGAGAUUGGGAGUGGCGGCUAAAAAAACAAAGCAACAAAGAAAGGCUGAAAAAGAAGCUUCGGGCAGUUGAAGGCUUGGGCGAGGGAAAAAGGAACAGAGGACAACCGAGAGCUAGAAGGAGAAGAGCAGAGGAGCGGCUGGAAAAGACUGGAGCUGGCCGAAAUCUACUGCCAUCACCGACGAGCCUCCACCGAGAGGGUAAGGGUAAAAGUAAUUUCACUCCAUUAGGGCCAACUCAAGGGAGGUACACCCUAUCCCUUAUUUUUACUUUGUUAAUGUUUGCAAUCAAGUCUUUUAUUCUUUUGACUUCUGGAAUGUGGGUUGUUUAUAUGAUUUAAUUGAUUCAAUUUCAUGUUUAUUUUCAAUUUCAUGAUCAUUUGCCAAUUAAAGCGAUGUCUUGACCCUUUCUUUUAUUUUGGAGGGUAAAAGUAAUUUCACUCCAUUAGGGCCAACUCAAGGGAGGUACACCCUAUCACUUAUUUUUACUUUAUUCGACCUUAUGUGUACUUAUGUGAUUUAUGUGUUAAUUGCAUGUCUUUUGUGAAUGUUUUCAUUUUAUUUAUUUAUUUACUCGCUUUAGUUGUCUUAAUUUCGUAUAUUUAUUUUAGUUCAUUUUGAUUAUUUGGGAGGCACUCGAAUGCCAAAAUUGUAAUAGUUAGGGAUUUAAUCGUUUUAUUUCUUCUUAUUUCCCCUUUUAGAUUGUAGUAGGCUUCCCCCUCCAAAUGUAAUAGUUAGGUUUUCUUUGUUUUUCUUUGGGUGAUUUGCAUGCCUAUGUGCUAUUUGUUACCGCUUUCAUAGGCUUUUGCAUCUAGACAAGCAUGCUUAUGUGUUACGUGCUAUGUGAAACUAUGUGUUUUGCAUGUCUAUUUGCUUUAGUAUUAUAUCUGAUUAUGUGGGUGAAUGCACGUCACCGUGGCUAGUCCAAUGCUAGUCAUGGCCUCCCCCUCGAGUUCUUACAAGUCCAAUGCUUGUAAAUGAUCGUUAGUAAAAGGCUAGUCCAAUGCUAGACCCAAUAGGCCGUCCCCUCUCGUUAGUGCAUACUUGCAUGUUUCACUACAUUUCAUACAUUUUUCUUAGUUUUCUAGCAUUUGGCAUGCUCCUCCAAUCCUUUCCCCUUUAUUUUAGGUUUUUGCAUCCUCAUGCUAGUUAUAGGGUACAUUUGCUUGAGAGUCCCCUUUCGGUAAGGGAAACGAGCCAGUAUGGCUACAAAAUAGCCUUAGCACGCUAGUUCUUCCUUCUAAUGAAAGGAAAAAUUAAAAAUCAUGAAGUUAGGAGUCAUUCCCGUACCCGACUUGAUGCAUUCCUCUAGGUGCAUACACUCUCAUUUUUAUCAUAUCACUUCCUCACUUUCUUUAUCUACAUUUUCUCACUACUUAUAUUUUUCUCACUCCACAUGCCAUGUUCACACAUUUUUCUUCUUUCCCUAUCACUUAUUUAUUUUCUACCUCACAAAUUGCACCCAAUCGCACUUAUAUGCAUUUACUACUAUUAUACCAUAUUUUCAUCCACCUGCACACAAACACCUUUAUUUUCUCAAUUGGCACACAUGCACUUUUCUUACAUUUGCACACAUUGCACUUCUCUUACAUUUUUCACACUUGCACUCAUAUUUGGGUCUUCAUUUGCAUUACCCGUGACCUCUAUGAGAGUUUUCCUUAUUGGCCAUCACAACUCAUGUGAUUGGGACCAAAAAGCCUCAUAAGAGACAUUUUAGAUUUAGGAUUGCAUUUUUUCAUAUCCAUUAGUCAUAUCCAACAUGCAACACAUACUUUGGGUAGAAAAAAAAUUGGAAAAGUGGGGCUAAGUCACGCAACUAGCUUUGGCUAGGGUAAGGGAGUGCCUUAGGCUUUGCCUUUGCCUUCUCCCUUAUCAAAUGUGACUCCCGAUCCCUUUCUUUGGUUACGUAGAUCUAAAAUUGUUUAAAAAGGGUUUGUUUACUUUUCUUUCCAAGAAAUCACUUUUUUGGGUGACUUGAUACACCCUAACUCUAUACCAAGUGGCGAUUCUAUUUUCCAUUCAAAAACCCUUUUUGAACUUUGUUUGGCCAAACCGUCGCAUUUCACAAUCACACGGCAUUUUAUUUUCAUUUUCACACACGUUCACAUACAUAUCCCACACACUACAUUCACAUUUCAAAAAGUGGGGCGCGACAUUUUCAUUAUAUAAUUUGGUAUAUGUUAAGUUUCGUAGUGCAUUAUACUAGUGUAACUAACUAGUGAGGUGUGUGCAAUAAAUUUGAUGGACACGAAAGAGUUUUGUGCAAAGGAGAUUAUGUAACAAGAAGUGUUAGAACUUAACUGGAGAAGCAUUAAAGAUCUUGGAGAUUAGAGACAAAUCAAGAGAGACAAGGAGAUAGGCUUGAACCAAGCUUUGCCAAAUGUCGAUGAUCCAAGCCUUCUUUGACCAAGAUAAGUCUUGUAUUUAACUUCCAUUUCACAACCAAAACUCCUUCGUUUUUCCUUCUUGUGGCCGAAAAUAGAGAGAGAAAAGGGAGAGAAAAAAACCUCAAGUUCUAACCUUAAUCUCUUACUUGAUUCAUGAGAAAACAAAAAAAAAACCCUAAUCUACUUCGUAGAUCUUUGAAGCAAGUGUGAAAGGGAGCUUUUGGUGAAGUUCUUGGAGGAAGAAAGACCUUGAUUUACUUUCUAACCUAGGGUUUUGAGGUAAAUUGUUAGAAAACUUCUCUUUCUUUUCUUAUCCUGAAAUUUAUUUGAUACAUGUAGCGAUAGAAGCUAUGUUUUUAUCAUGUUUUAUUGAAAUUUCCAGCUUUGGUGUAAGAUAUAUGUAGCUUAGUUUAGAACUUUAUACAUGUGAAAUUUUGGUGGAUUUGGUUGCCAAAAAGAUAUUUCAUACACCCUAUGAUAUGUUAUCUUGAUUGAUAGUGAUUUUGCCAUGAAAAUAGGGUUGAAAAUUGAAAGGUUAACUUGAGGAAUUUGGGGUUAUAUUGCUGCAAAUUCUUUCUUGGUUGGUCAAGUGAGAGAGUGAGAGUUGAGGUGUAAGUUUAGAAUGAUUUUGACCUCCUUUACUAGAGUUAAUUGGGAAUACCUUGAUUUUUCACAUAUCUGUUGGUUUUGAGCCAAAACAAAAUGAUUGAAGAUGAGGCAAAUGAUGUUUAUUCCAAAACGUUUUAUAGUUGGAAGUGUCCAGCUUUAAACUCGAGAUUUUUGUCACUUUUCUUCAAAAAGUCAUGCCUACAUUUAACAUAAUUUUGCUCCAUGUUGUGCCUGUGGUAUUGAGCUACAUCUACAUGGUUUUUUCAUUAAUUUUCACAAGUAAAAGGUGUGAUUUUGAACCGCUAAUGGCUUCUUGUUAUAUGAUGUCUAAUUGCAAAUUUCGAAAGUGGCUAAGAAGCAGAGUCUGAGCUUGACAUUGACAGACCUUAAUUAGUUGGUGAGUAUACCAAUUGCAUGGUAGAAAUUGCUACCUGAUUGAAAUGCUCUUUUGAUGUGAAUAAGCAAUACUUGACACGAGAUCGUGAUUGAAUGAAUGUUAUUGCUAUGCUCUUGAUUUGUUUUGGUUGGUCGCAUGUGUAUCUUAUCGCACUUGCCCUAACUGGACUAUAGUACUGUGCACUGUUUGCAAAUGAAUUGAUGUUCAUGUGCAUGAUUUGGAAGUAACUCUUUGGGAUCCCAAACUUCAUUGGCUAGUUAGUCGAAUCGAGCCAACAAGAGCAUGGUUGAGGAGAUUGACAAACCAUAGAGUUUGGGCCCAGUAGGGAUUGAUCGAUGGACGGAGAUUGGAGAUAAGCGGUAUUCUACUGGACUUGUUACUAUAUUCCUAUGGUUGAUGAAGUGUCAGCGGAUCCUGGUCAAGUUGUUGCCAAACUAGCUCACAAGAGCAAACUGUAUCCUUAUGCGUGAAAGUGUUAAUUGCUUAUCUGACUUGUUUACUUGAAAUGUUACUGACUUAUCUUGUGAACAUUUACUUUUUUUAGUUUGAGAUUAAGAUAUAUGUAACUGCCAACUUGCUACUUUGUUUGCAUGUUGUCUUGGAACCUCAUUGGGUGAUAGCUCACUCCGUUAGUUUGUUUUCCUUACAGGGGGCGAAAACGUGGGCGUGUGAGUUAGAGAAGGCUGGCAUUUUGGUCUAGGUCCCUUGUCUUUUGUUCUGGUGUUCUUCUAAUUUUAGCGGGUUAACUUGAGUUUGAAUCUCUUGUUAUAUUUUGGAUCCGUAUGGGAAUUCAAUGAUUACGAAUGUAUAUAUCUAAGUUUCAAAGUUACUAUUGCUUUUGUUCUCGAUGCUCUGGUAUUGUAUUGGGACUUAUGUGUGAGACCUGGUGAGAGCUGGACAGACGGUCCGCCAAACCUUGAGGUACACCCUAAGAGGAGGUGGGGUCGUUAUAAAAAAUAAUAAAAUCAGCACCUAACAAUAUGAAAUUAUACUAUUUUCUGGAUAUCCUGAAACAAAUCAAUACGUUUCAAGUAUUAAAUAGUAUAAACCAAGAAAUUGCUAACAGUAGUUAGAUUUUGAAUACAACUUGAGAACUAGCCUAAUUUAGAGUAGUUCUUGCGAAUUAAAGAUGAUAUUAGAUAGAGGAUUUCUUGGCCAGCUUGCAAGUUCGGCAACCUUCUCAUGUGCCCUUUUACGACAAGCUUUGUUACAAACAUAUAUAAUUUGAAUAUGCAGUCAUGAACGUGCAAGUUUAUUAUCCAAAAGAGAAUGCACCUUAUUGAUUCCUUGGCUGAUGGAGAAGGUAUGAGGCUAGAUUCAUUAGUCUGCAUGAAGGUGGAGUUUUUAUUCUAUAAAAACCUUGGUUGGGCUGGUGAAGAGUGCAUGGUAGGCAUGAAUUUCUAUGGCUAUUUAUGACAUUUGUAUGAAUUGGAUGGUGCUUUACUAGUGUUCGUAUUAGGGGUUUCUUGCUAUGUAAUUGUUAGGUUGUAUUUGUUUGAUCAUUUUGAGGAAUAUUUGUUUAAUUAUUUUGUGGAAUAAUGUUUUGUUUGAAGAUAUGGAGUUGAAUUAUAUGUCAAUUAAUCAGUUAGAUGAUAGAACUCAUGGGUACAUUAUUUGGGUUGUGAUAGUCGAAAAGAGGUUGAUUCAACAUAGUCAUUACAUGGGGCGAAGAUAUCAACGGUUUGUUUUUGCUGAUGAUUUGGAUGAUGCUAAUGAUAUGCAGUGUGGGAGGAUUUUAUUGAGCCAGAUGGUAUGCAUCUUAUCCAAAUUGCACAUCAGCACCCCAUUAUUUUAGUUUGUAGGCCUCGAAUUACUCAUUUUUGUGGAGUAUCACUUGCCAUGUAGCAGCAGACUAUUAUCAUGUAUAAUGUUGAUCUUCCACGAACUCAUGUAUUAUGGCGAUGGUGUGAAGGAAUGCCAAGAAGUGGAGGUGGUUAGUUGGUGGAAAAAGUCUUGGCCGUUGUGGUGGUGGCUACAAAGUUGUGGUUGUUUAGUUAUUCUUAUGGAUAGCUUUGAUUUAUAUAGUUUAUGUGUGUAGGAAGAGUUGGAUAUAAUUUAGUGAAAUAGAUUGUAAAGUGGUCUUUGUUUCGUUGUUUUAUUGGAGUGGGCUUUUUGUUUCUAUUAUUUGUAAUGGGCUUGCUUGUUUUAAUAGAAGGAUGAAAGUUAUAAAUAUGUAAGGUGCUAUUGAGUUGUAUUU